This 64-nucleotide transfer RNA is filed under the name Drosophila tsacasi. RNAcentral describes it as "tRNA-Leu". The record is from RNAcentral. Lineage: Eukaryota; Metazoa; Arthropoda; Insecta; Diptera; Drosophilidae.
ACUAUUUUGGCAGAUUACUGCAAUAAAUUUAGAAUUUAUAUAUGUGAUUUUUAUUACAGAUAGU